GCCUGGCUAGUUCAGUUGUUGGAGCAUGUGAUUCUUGAUCUCAAGGUUGUGAGUUCAACUCCCUUGGUGGGUG
Molecule: transfer RNA, 73 nt
Filed under: Ailuropoda melanoleuca (giant panda)
Lineage: Eukaryota; Metazoa; Chordata; Mammalia; Carnivora; Ursidae
Rfam family: tRNA
About the family: Transfer RNA (tRNA) molecules are approximately 80 nucleotides in length.
Source: Rfam by way of RNAcentral